UCUGCUCUAACUGUUCUUUCAACCAUCUUCACUAGUUCUGCACCAUAAGAGGUUGAAGGAAGAACUAGAUUAGCAUCUCAAGUUUGCCAACAUAGUUAUCACAUAAAUAUGAAGUGAAUGUGUUUGUCGUGAUUUAGAAAUUGACGGCCAAGACAGAAAGAGACCUGGAAAUGAUGUUUGGUCAUCAAUAGGAAUAUGCAAGCACCAUAUAUCAAAGAUCCUUCAUUUAACGGAAAAGAAAAACAUAUUUUAGGCAUAAUUAUCUGUCAUAGUAUUAAAACAAUUAAGUCAUAUCUUCAAUAUAGUAGCAAUGUUAAUGGCAUAGCAAUGACAAACUGCACUACUCAGAGUUUUUUGGAAACGGAUAAAUGCACUCCAUUGUAGAACAUCAUUUAAUCUUGGGAAAAAUGAAGUGCACUUAUCAUUUCCUUUUUCUAUCUUCAUAUUCCAGGUCUAGACUUCAUGGAGUUAAUGUAUUUACUAUCAAAGUCUUUGGUAUUGCAAAGUAAAUCAGAGUCCGAUACCAUCAAUAGCUGCAAGGUUCAAAUUAGUAAAAAUUUUGUUUAGCAUUGAAUUUUAUGCUAAUGAACAAAAUAACCCUUCUCAUCAGAUCAUUCCCAUAUAUUACUAUGUACAAAAUCAAGAACAUUCUGUUAACAUCAUGAUGCAAUAGAUUUUAGGCUCAAUGCUAAUUUUCCAUCAGCCACACAGUUAAUAACCACUUCAUAUUUUCAACUACCAUUAGUAAACAUAGUGAAAUUUGAUCAAAAUUCACAAUUUGAAAAAUAGAUUGUUCAAGUUAACAUUUUGAAGAUCAGUAUGCAUAAUUUGCUUCAACUUGGGUAUAUUAGGUAUUAUAUUUUGAAAUUUUAUUCAUUAUUUUCACUCAUUUUAUCAAUAUUUUAUGUACCUUUAAUGCAUAGUACACAAACAUUCUAAUAAGGACAGGAAACUGUCGUACAUAAUUUAUAUUAAUGAAAAUUAAUCUCAAGGGGAGAAGACAAUUAUAUUAGUGCAAGUGCUCUCCAUUGCCAAUCAUAAGGAAUAAGUUUAUAUGACCCCACCCAUACACCAGUUUUAUUUUGAUUGAUUAUGAAGAUUUCUUUAUUGCUUCAGCACAAUGCAUUAAAAAUCCAUAAAGAUUAAUAAGUAAAAUGUGUUAGGUACUCAAUAAAAUGAAAUGAGACUCCUUAACGACUGCAAAUAGACUAAUGAGAAACUUAAAGGUUGUGCAGUAAAAAAAAGAGAAGAAAGUUACUACACUUACCAUUACAUCCUCUUGCUCGCAUUUUAACAAACAGCUAAUGUGCAUCCCAUGUCAGCUCCAUAUAUCCAACUUUCAAAAAAUUAAUGCUUCUUUUUGCAUGUUUUUGACAACCAACGUCAAUAUCAUUGUAAAGUCAUACAUGCCAAACAUAUUCAGAAACCAAAAAUCACACAAUCACAAACCACCAAAGGAAA
Molecule: long non-coding RNA, 1461 nt
Filed under: Panax ginseng (ginseng)
Lineage: Eukaryota; Viridiplantae; Streptophyta; Magnoliopsida; Apiales; Araliaceae
Description: long non-coding RNA (PGIN_LNC015584)
Source: RNAcentral